RNAcentral lists this ribosomal RNA (301 nucleotides) under uncultured bacterium. RNAcentral describes it as "partial 16S ribosomal RNA". It matches the Rfam family "Bacterial small subunit ribosomal RNA", at positions 509 to 808 of the family's 1533-position model. The record is from RNAcentral.
CAGUCGCCGCGGUAAUACGUAGGUGGCAAGCGUUGUCCGGAAUUAUUGGGCGUAAAGGGCUCGCAGGCGGUUUCUUAAGUCUGAUGUGAAAGCCCCCGGCUCAACCGGAGAGGGUCAUCGGAAACUGGGAAACUUGAGUGCAGAAGAGGAGAGUGGAAUUCCACGUGUAGCGGUGAAAUGCGUAGAGAUGUGGAGGAACACCAGUGGCGAAGGCGACUCUCUGGUCUGUAACUGACGCUGAGGAGCGAAAGCGUGGGGAGCGAACAGGAUUAGAUACCCCGAGUAGUCCCUGUCUCUUAUA